UACGUAGGGGGCGAGCGUUGUCCGGAUUUAUUGGGCGUAAAGAGCUCGUAGGCGGCUGUUCGAGUCGGGUGUGAAAUCCUGAGGCUUAACCUUGGGUCUGCAUUCGAUACUGGGCGGCUUGAGUCUGGUAGGGGGAUCUGGAAUUCCUGGUGUAGCGGUGGAAUGCGCAGAUAUCAGGAGGAACACCGGUGGCGAAGGCGGGAUCCUGGACCGAGAUUGACGCUGAUGCGCGAAAGCCAGGGGAGCAAACGGG
Molecule: ribosomal RNA, 253 nt
Filed under: uncultured bacterium
Lineage: Bacteria
Description: partial 16S ribosomal RNA
Rfam family: Bacterial small subunit ribosomal RNA
Source: RNAcentral